UCUUUAUUGUCGAUAUCUUCUGCCCGGUGUUUAUAUAAACGGCCGCAGUACCUUGACUGUGCUAAGGUAGCAUAAUCAAUUGGCUAUUAAUUGUAGUCUAGUAUGAAUGAAGUAAUGAAUAGUAGCUAUAAUAAAAAAUAUUAUUUUAAUUUAAUGAACUGGUGAAAAUACCAGUAUAUAGAAAAAAGACGAGAAGACCCUUAGAGUUUUURAAAUAAAGAUUGUUUAAGACUUUGAUAUAUUUACUUAAAGUAUUUAUACUACACACUUUUUUGUUGGGGCGACAAGAAAGCAUAAUAACCUUUCUAUUUAUAUUUAAAAAUUAUGUUAUUAGAUAUGACGAUAUUGUUAUGUAUAAAUAAACUACCUUAGGGAUAACAGCAUAAUGAUAAAAUUUAGUUUGUGACCUCGAUGUUGGACUAGGGACUUGUACACUAACCGUGUUAAAAGAAUGUUCUGUUC
This 462-nucleotide ribosomal RNA is filed under the name Physa sp. CA EE-2018. RNAcentral's name for it is "partial 16S ribosomal RNA". Lineage: Eukaryota; Metazoa; Mollusca; Gastropoda; Physidae. The record is from RNAcentral.